Molecule: ribosomal RNA, 491 nt
Filed under: uncultured bacterium
Lineage: Bacteria
Description: partial 16S ribosomal RNA
Rfam family: Bacterial small subunit ribosomal RNA
Source: RNAcentral
AGUGAACGCUGGCGGUAGGCCUAACACAUGCAAGUCGAACGGCAGCACAGUAAGAGCUUGCUCUUACGGGUGGCGAGUGGCGGACGGGUGAGGAAUACAUCGGAAUCUACUUUUUCGUGGGGGAUAACGUAGGGAAACUUACGCUAAUACCGCAUACGACCUACGGGUGAAAGCAGUGGAUCUUCGGACCUUGCGCGAUUGAAUGAGCCGAUGUCGGAUUAGCUAGUUGGCGGGGUAAAGGCCCACCAAGGCGACGAUCCGUAGCUGGUCUGAGAGGAUGAUCAGCCACACUGGAACUGAGACACGAUCCAGACUCCUACGGGAGGCAGCAGUGGGGAAUAUUGGACAAUGGGCGCAAGCCUGAUCCAGCCAUACCGCGUGGGUGAAGAAGGCCUUCGGGUUGUAAAGCCCUUUUGUUGGGAAAGAAAAGCAGCAGGUUAAUACCCCGCUGUUCUGACGGUACCAAAAGAAUAAGCACCGGCUAACUUCGU